Molecule: ribosomal RNA, 117 nt
Filed under: Danio rerio (zebrafish)
Lineage: Eukaryota; Metazoa; Chordata; Actinopteri; Cypriniformes; Danionidae
Source: RNAcentral
GGCCACAGCCAUAUCACCCUGCAGCCAAAGACCGGUUACUCACUGAAGCUAAGCAGGGCUGAGCCUGUUCAGUACCUGGAUGGGAGACCACAUGGGAAAACUAGGUUGCUGUUGGAA